This 245-nucleotide ribosomal RNA is filed under the name uncultured bacterium. RNAcentral's name for it is "partial 16S ribosomal RNA". It matches the Rfam family "Bacterial small subunit ribosomal RNA", at positions 524 to 768 of the family's 1533-position model. The record is from RNAcentral.
UACAGAGGUCUCAAGCGUUGUUCGGAUUCAUUGGGCGUAAAGGGUGCGUAGGCGGUGAUGUAAGUUGGAUGUGAAAUCCCGGAGCUCAACUCCGGAACUGCAUUCAAUACUGCGUUGCUAGAGUACUGGAGAGGAGAUUGGAAUUCACGGUGUAGCAGUGAAAUGCGUAGAUAUCGUGAGGAAGACCAGUGGCGAAGGCGAAUCUCUGGACAGUUACUGACGCUGAGGCACGAAGGCCAGGGGAG